UACGGGGGGGGCAAGCGUUGUUCGGAAUUACUGGGCGUAAAGGGUUCGUAGGUGGCUUGCUAAGUCAGACGUGAAAUCCCUCAGCUUAACUGGGGAACUGCGUCUGAGACUGGCAAGCUCGAGGUGCAGGAGAGGAACGCGGAAUUCCAGGUGUAGCGGUGAAAUGCGUAGAUAUCUGGAGGAACACCGGUGGCGAAGGCGGCGUUCUGGACUGCAACUGACACUGAGGACGAAAGCCGGUGGGAGCAAACGGG
RNAcentral lists this ribosomal RNA (254 nucleotides) under uncultured bacterium. RNAcentral's name for it is "partial 16S ribosomal RNA". It matches the Rfam family "Bacterial small subunit ribosomal RNA", at positions 524 to 776 of the family's 1533-position model. The record is from RNAcentral.